RNAcentral lists this long non-coding RNA (210 nucleotides) under Helianthus annuus (common sunflower). RNAcentral describes it as "sRNA HanXRQr2_Chr05g0203451". Lineage: Eukaryota; Viridiplantae; Streptophyta; Magnoliopsida; Asterales; Asteraceae. The record is from RNAcentral.
UCCUAUGUAUUCCGUACAAUUUAUUAUUGAUAAUUAAAGUGUUUGACGACUGUGUGGAAUUACUAAACUGCUCUCUGAUUACUGUGAUAUACUUACAUGUGUUUGUUAACGUACUUGGCUUGUAAAACUUGACUAAAUGGUCCUGAAUAUUUUCCUAUGUGUUAGGAAUUAAUUGUGUUACAAAAAUAUAUGUAUAAGACGCCUUACGGA